Molecule: ribosomal RNA, 462 nt
Filed under: uncultured bacterium
Lineage: Bacteria
Description: partial 16S ribosomal RNA
Rfam family: Bacterial small subunit ribosomal RNA
Source: RNAcentral
GACGAACGCUGGCGGCGUGCUUAACACAUGCAAGUCGAGCGGAAAGGCCCUUCGGGGUACUCGAGCGGCGAACGGGUGGGUAACACGUGAGUAACCUGCCCCAGACUUUGGGAUAACCCUCGGAAACGGGGGCUAAUACCGGAUACGACACAGCUUCGCAUGGGGUCUGUGUGGAAAGUUUUUCGGUUUGGGAUGGGCUCGCGGCCUAUCAGCUUGUUGGUGGGGUGAUGGCCUACCAAGGCGACGACGGGUAGCCGGCCUGGGAGGGCGACCGGCCACACUGGGACUGAGACACGGCCCAGACUCCUACGGGAGGCAGCAGGGGGGAAUAUUGCUCAAUGGGCGGAAGCCUGAUGCAGCGACGCCGCGUGAGGGAUGACGGCCUUCGGGUUGUAAACCUCUUUCAGCAGGGACGAAGCGUAAGUGACGGUACCUGCAGAAGAAGCGCCGGCCAACUACGUG